GAAAAGUAAUUUAUAAAAAGUAGUAAUAUUUAAUGACCCUAAAAAAAAACUAUAGCUUAAGAGUACUGUAAAGGAAAGUAUAAAAUUAAAUAUAAUAAAAAUAGUAAGUAUUAAUUGCUGUACCUUUUGUAUUAGGGAUAAUCAAAAUAGCUUAAUUAAUUUAAACUUCCCGAAAUAAGAACAGUUAAUCUUAUAAAAUUGUUUUUGUAGAAUAAAAAUGUUGAAUAUAAGAUUAAAGAUGAAAUGUCAUUCGAGUCUUGUAAUAUCUGGUUUUCUUAGAAAUAAAUUAAAUUUAGACUUUAAGCAAAGAAGGUUUAAGGUUAAAGUAUAGGAGGGAUUAGCUUCUUAUAUAAAUAUAAUAAAAUAGUUAAAUAUAAAGGAAAAAAUUAAAUUAGGCUUAAAAGUAGCCAUAUUAAAAAAGUGUUUUUACUAAAUUGAUUAAAAAUAAUAUUUAUAUUAACUUUUUAAAAAUAUAAGAAAAUUAUUAACAAUAAAAGAUAAUAAGAUAAAAUGAUUAUAUUAGUAAAGUUUAUUGUCAAUAAAAAAAAAAUAAAAUAGUAAUUAAAAUAUAAUAUAAAAGUGGAAUAAUAAAGGAAAACAAAGACAUGUCUGUUUGAAGUUAUAAAAAGUCUGGCCUGCCCACUGAUUAUUUUGAAGGGCCGCGGUAUUUUGACCGUGCAAAGGUAGCAUAAUCGUUAGGUUUUUAAUUGAAAUCUUGUAUGAAUGGUUUGACAAAGAAAAGUCUGUCUUUAUUUUUAAAGAUUGAAUUUAACUUUUAAGUGAAAAGGCUUAAAUAAAUUAAAGGGACGAUAAGACCCUAUAAAACUUUAUAUAAAAUGUAUAUUUGGUUAAAUUUAUAAAUAAAAAUUAAGUAUAAAUUUAUAUUUUGUUGGGGCGACAAGAAUAUAAUGUUUGAUAACUGUUAAAAUUUAAAAACAAAAAUAUAUGAUUAGGUAAAUAUAAAUGAUCCUAUUUAAAGAUUAUAAGUUUAAGUUACUUUAGGGAUAACAGCGUUAUUCUUUUUGAGAGUUCUUAUCGAAAAAAGAGUUUGCGACCUCGAUGUUGAAUUAAAAAUUCCU
This 1079-nucleotide ribosomal RNA is filed under the name Pseudogelasimus loii. RNAcentral's name for it is "partial 16S ribosomal RNA". Lineage: Eukaryota; Metazoa; Arthropoda; Malacostraca; Decapoda; Dotillidae. The record is from RNAcentral.